This 253-nucleotide ribosomal RNA is filed under the name uncultured bacterium. Its description in RNAcentral is "partial 16S ribosomal RNA". It matches the Rfam family "Bacterial small subunit ribosomal RNA", at positions 524 to 776 of the family's 1533-position model. The record is from RNAcentral.
UACGUAGGGGGCUAGCGUUGUCCGGAAUCAUUGGGCGUAAAGAGCGUGUAGGCGGCUCGGUAAGUCCGCUGUGAAAGUCGGGGGCUCAACCCUCGAAUGCCGGUGGAUGCUGUCGAGCUAGAGUGCGGAAGAGGCGAGUGGAAUUCCUGGUGUAGCGGUGAAAUGCGCAGAUAUCAGGAGGAACACCGAUUGCGAAGGCAGCUCGCUGGGACGUUACUGACGCUGAGACGCGAAAGCGUGGGGAGCAAACAGG